CUUUACCCUACAUGCCUGAGAAGCCAGGGGCCAAGAUGGAUCUUCUCCUCGACAUCAGCUAAGCCUGGAGGACUCUUCCCCUCAGAGACCAUGGAGAGGGACAGCCACGGGAAUGCAUCUCCAGCAAGAACACCUUCAGCUGGAGCAUCUCCAGCCCAGGCGUCUCCAGCCCAGGCAUCUCCAGCUGGGACACCUCCGGGCCGGGCAUCUCCAGCCCAGGCAUCUCCAGCUGGGACACCUCCAGGCCGGGCAUCUCCAGCCCAGGCAUCUCCAGCCCAAGCAUCACCAGCCCAGGCAUCUCCAGCCCGGGCAUCUCCGGCUCUGGCAUCACCUUCCAGGUCCUCAUCCGGCAGGUCAUCAUCCGCCAGGUCAGCCUCCGUGACAACCUCCCCAACCAGAGUGUACCUUGUUAGAGCAACACCAGUGAGGGCUGUACCCGUCCGAUCAUCUCCUGCCAGGUCAGCACCAGCCACCAGGGCCACCAGGGAGAGCUCAGGUACGAGCCUGCCCAAGUUCACCUGGCGGGAGGGCCAGAAGCGGCUACCGUUCAUCGGGUGUGUGCUCCUCCUCAUUGCCCUGGUGGCUUCGCUCAUCAUCCUCUGUGAGUU
This 608-nucleotide small RNA is filed under the name Pan troglodytes (chimpanzee). Its description in RNAcentral is "retained intron". The record is from RNAcentral. Lineage: Eukaryota; Metazoa; Chordata; Mammalia; Primates; Hominidae.